CUCUCACAGGUUUGGGCAGUUGUAGUGUGAGGUGCUUGUGGCGAGGUGCUGCUUCAAAGCGGACAACAUGCAAAGGAGGACAGAAAGGAGGGAGGCCGCUCGCAGUUCCAGUGUUGUCUACGACGGUGCACAAAAAGGAGGAGGCGAGAUGGUGAAGAUCGACGUGUUGUCGCUGCCUCCUGGUGAGACUCCCACAACAUAUUAGAUGCGUACUCGCCUACCAUGUCCUCCCAACGCCAUUCGCCCAGCUCAAAUUUGGGGCACCCAAAUUUUCACCACAGGUGAAAAGGUCACUAACCACUCCCUAAUGGUAUUUCCAAGCAACUUCGAUGCUCAUGUAUACCAGCGUAAUGUUUCAACUUUCAACCAUGCAUAGCGAACGACAUCAUCUUUUGUCUACUUAAGAAGCCUUGGUCCUUCAUGAUUAUUUCAUGCUUUUGAUUGGAGAUAAAUAAUGCUUUAUGGUUUUGUAUUGCCACUCCUUACUAUUUGUCAAGAUCUAACUAUGAUUUGCAAUGCGGGAGCCUGGGUUAUCCAGUGAUUGGUCUCUUAAGUAAAAUAUAUGUGGCAUAAUUAGCUUUUCUAUUUCCAUGUCUUCUUCAAAGACUGAGCUUAUGCGUUGUUCUGUACCCCGGCCCCUGCAUGUAUUUCGUGAAGCGUCUGUGUAUAUUGAUGUUUUCCAUCUUCGUUCUUUCGGAAUCCCUUUUUCAAUUAUGCUGCCAUCUUAACUUGCAGAUUUGAGACAAGAUUACCCAACGAAAUUUACUCUACGUCUCCGGCAAUUUAGAUUAUUAGUAGUACAAUAUAAAUUUAUCAUACAUUGCCAGAAAAACAGCAAGCAACACUAGCCCUUCGUCAACUCUAAUAGUACUGCUGUACAUACUGAAGUUCAUUUGUUUCACUUCUUUUUUUAUAGCCAUGAAACAGCCUUGGUACGUUACUCAUUUUAGAUUCUUAGAUAUCUCUGCACAUGCUUCCAUGUGGUAGCCAUUGCUGUUUCGUUUCAUAAAAGUUACCAUAUUCGAGCAUUCUUAUAUGCAUAUUUGUUUCCUAGAUCUGUCAACACGAGUGUCUCCCUAAGGUCCUAAAACAUUUAUGGUGAAUUAUGUAUUACAACAAAAUCAUUCUGCGAAAAAAGCCCAUGUAGAAAAUUACCCGAUAUUCUCUCUUUUAUACUAAAAUCUAACAUAUAGUAAAUCGAGAAAAAAUAGCAUGUGCCAUCCGUAGCUCCUUACUGUUCUUUGCAUAUCGUAUAUUUAUAAUACAUGGAGCUUUACCAAUGUGUACUGUAUUUGAAAAAAUACGUGGAUUAUGGCAUCAAGGGUGAAAACAAAUAUGUAGUUGUAUAUGAUCUCCAAAUUUUGUUUCUCCUAGGUAUUUUAAGGAUACACAAAUGUAGUUGUAUAUAAUCUCCAAAUUCUAUUUCCUCAACAAGCUUCUAUAGUCCCCUUAAUUUCAUUUGCACAGUUGUUUUGAUAAAUUAGGUCUAGAUUCAUUGUGCCACUUCAUAUUUCAGAAUACAUGUGUGGGAACGAAGCAUAUAACUAAUAUAUUUUCAUGUUGUAAUUAUAAGAGGCUGAUUUCAUCUAUUCAUCGUUUCAUCCAUGUUGCAUGAAAAUGCCAAUUGUAUUUGAAGAAGAAAGAAACACUCAUUGUUUGAGUUCAGUCCAAUAUAUUGUAGCAGCAAAUAUUCUUAUCCCUGAAAAAAUAUCUCAAUUUUGAAUUAGUAUGAAUUUGCUAUGGCCCAUCCUAGAGAUAAUUAGACCGCUCCUGAAAUUAAGACUACACAUUGCUAAUGUCGCAAGUGUUUAAAAUGGCCACUCUGACUACAUUUUCAGCUAAGGGUUACUCAUUUAACUAAUACGUACUACACUUUGGAGUACCUUUCACGCCAAAUAAGAGUACUGUAUGCAGCAGUUUUAAGAAAACUUCUCUUUCCCUGAAGUUUCUCUUCCAAUUUUGUUUUCAUAUAAUCCAGAAAAAUCAUGUCUUAGGUGCAACAACAGAUCGAUUUGGUGUGCAAGAGGCUGAAUUUACUUGAUUUUUUUCUUUACCUCUCUGACAUGAUUAAUUUUCAUACCCAUAGGAUUAUGUACUUUACAACACUAUGGUUUCCUAUUAUCAGCAUUUUUAGGAUGGUAGGACCAAGUAUUGGAUGAUAUUUCACAACCUAAAUCAUUUUUAUCUUUUCUAAAAAUAAAGUUUAUUGAAUUUAAUACCUUAUGGAUCAAAUAAGUAUAUGGUAUUUACUUUUAGUAGGAAUGUAUGUAUGUUUGCCACGGGGAUACUGAGCCUUUGCAUAGUUUCAAGACCUAUCAAUUGUGAUUAAAUUAUCUUUAUCUCUAAUAACUAGCCCGUGCAGUCACACGGGUUGAUGACUAGUGACUGCUAAUGUGUGAACAAAUUUCAGAAUAGUGAAAUGCAUUUUUUGGCUAUGCAGAAAAUGUACUGCUAUAUGUGUGUAGUUAUACUGCUGGUGGUAUAUGUGUGCAAAUGUACCGCUAAUGGUUCAUAUGCGUAAACUUUUGUUGUAUGACAUAUAACAAAACUGGUUAUUCGUCUUUAUUAUAACUUGUCUUAACUAGGAAUAUUUGUGGCACUGUAGUACACGCACUAGCAAAAAAGAACAGACUAGGGGUGAGCUCGACUAUCAUCUCUUCCCCCUCCCCUAUUUGCUUUGUUUCGGUCGUUGUGCCGAUGCCAAUAGAUUUUGCUUUCAUGUCAAGUCUCAUAACCUAGGCGUCUCCCGUUCGAAAGGGCGACAUCUAUAAGAUUGUCCAUCUGGAGCCAUUUUAAACCUAGGCAUCUCCCGUCAUAAGAUUGUCCAUCUGGAGAGCGUCUCCCGUUCAAAAGGGCGACAUUUAUGGCCAUCUGGAGUGCACAAAUGAAACUUGCUUCAACAAAGUUGUAUAUUCAGUUAUUUCGCUUUGAGAUGUUGCUUGUCAUUUUAUUUGGUUGUCUUUUAAAGUUUUUCUACAUGUUCGAUCAUUACCAGAAAGUGAUCUUUUAAGCAAUAUCUUAUACACACUGACAUCAAGCUUAGAAGAUUCAGUAAAGAUUUAGGAUAUGAUUAUAGAUGUUUUGAGGAUCAUGUAGCAUGCUUUUCUUUACAGUCCACUUUUGCCGGAUAGAAUUUAUCUUAAUUUGGUGUGUUCAUGCUAACGAGACAUUGCAAAUGAUCUUUAAUUUGGUGCAACAUAACUCCCGACAAGCAUCGACGUCUGCCAUUGGCGCGACCAAGAACCCUGAUCCUCCUCCGUCAGCCACUACCGCGAGCAAGAGCCUUGAUCCUUCACCUACGGGUUGACGAUCACGGAAUCUUGGGUUGAUGGAGUGCUUGUCUUUAGUUUUUGUUUUGACUUUGUGAAACUUGCUACCUAUGAUGAAACUGUGUAAUAUUGAUGAAACUAUGUAUAUGUAUGGAUGAAACUUGCUACUAUUGGUAACAUGUGUUGGAUAUGUGUUCGAUA
Triticum urartu is the source of this 3470-nucleotide non-coding RNA. The record is from RefSeq and is a predicted model, not a curated record. NCBI's taxonomy places the organism in Eukaryota, Viridiplantae, Streptophyta, Magnoliopsida, Poales, Poaceae.